RNAcentral lists this ribosomal RNA (450 nucleotides) under uncultured bacterium. RNAcentral's name for it is "bacterial SSU rRNA". It matches the Rfam family "Bacterial small subunit ribosomal RNA", at positions 340 to 786 of the family's 1533-position model. The record is from RNAcentral.
UACGGAAGGCAGCAGUGGGGAAUAUUGCACAAUGGGCGCAAGCCUGAUGCAGCCAUGCCGCGUGUAUGAAGAAGGCCUUCGGGUUGUAAAGUACUUUCAGCGGGGAGGAAGGCGAUGCGGUUAAUAACCGCGUCGAUUGACGUUACCCGCAGAAGAAGCACCGGCUAACUCCGUGCCAGCAGCCGCGGUAAUACGGAGGGUGCAAGCGUUAAUCGGAAUUACUGGGCGUAAAGCGCACGCAGGCGGUCUGUUAAGUCAGAUGUGAAAUCCCCGGGCUUAACCUGGGAACUGCAUUUUGAACUGGCAGGCUUGAGUCUUGUGAGGGGGUGAAUUCCAGGUGUAGCGGUGAAAUGCGUAGAGAUCUGGAGGAAUACCGGUGGCGAAGGCGGCCCCUGGGCAAAGCUGACGCUCAGGUGCGAAAGCGUGGGGAGCGAAACAGGAUUAGAUACC